RNAcentral lists this ribosomal RNA (465 nucleotides) under Vreelandella stevensii. RNAcentral describes it as "partial 16S ribosomal RNA". It matches the Rfam family "Bacterial small subunit ribosomal RNA", at positions 338 to 795 of the family's 1533-position model. Lineage: Bacteria; Pseudomonadati; Pseudomonadota; Gammaproteobacteria; Oceanospirillales; Halomonadaceae. The record is from RNAcentral.
CCUACGGGGGACAGCAGUGGGGAAUAUUGGACAAUGGGGGGAACCCUGAUCCAGCCAUGCCGCGUGUGUGAAGAAGGCCCUCGGGUUGUAAAGCACUUUCAGUGAGGAAGAACGCCUGGUGGUUAAUACCCAUCAGGAAAGACAUCACUCACAGAAGAAGCACCGGCUAACUCCGUGCCAGCAGCCGCGGUAAUACGGAGGGUGCGAGCGUUAAUCGGAAUUACUGGGCGUAAAGCGCGCGUAGGUGGCUUGAUAAGCCGGUUGUGAAAGCCCCGGGCUCAACCUGGGAACGGCAUCCGGAACUGUCAAGCUAGAGUGCAGGAGAGGAAGGUAGAAUUCCCGGUGUAGCGGUGAAAUGCGUAGAGAUCGGGAGGAAUACCAGUGGCGAAGGCGGCCUUCUGGACUGACACUGACACUGAGGUGCGAAAGCGUGGGUAGCAAACAGGAUUAGAUACCCCAGUAGUC